This 468-nucleotide ribosomal RNA is filed under the name uncultured bacterium. RNAcentral's name for it is "partial 16S ribosomal RNA". It matches the Rfam family "Bacterial small subunit ribosomal RNA", at positions 28 to 507 of the family's 1533-position model. The record is from RNAcentral.
GACGAACGCUGGCGGCGUGCUUAACACAUGCAAGUCGAACGGAAAGGCCCUGCUUUUGUGGGGUGCUCGAGUGGCGAACGGGUGAGUAACACGUGAGUAACCUGCCCUUGACUGUGGGAUAACUUCAGGAAACUGGGGCUAAUACCGGAUAGGAGCUCCUGCUGCAUGGUGGGGGUUGGAAAGUUUCGGCGGUUGGGGAUGGACUCGCGGCUUAUCAGCUUGUUGGUGGGGUAGUGGCUUACCAAGGCUUUGACGGGUAGCCGGCCUGAGAGGGUGACCGGCCACAUUGGGACUGAGAUACGGCACAGACUCCUACCGGAGGCAGCAGUGCGGAAUAUUGCACAAUGGGCGGAAGCCUGAUGCAGCACCGCCGCGUGCGGGAUGACGGCCUUCGGGUUGUAAACCGCUUUCGCCUGUGACGAAGCGUGAGUGACGGUAAUGGGUAAAGAAGCACCGGCUAACUACGUG